CAGCCGCCACGGUAAUACGAGGGGGGCAAGCGUUGUUCGGAAUUAUUGGGCGUAAAGGGUGCGUAGGCGGUUUCGUAAGUCUUAUGUGAAAUCUAUGGGCUCAACCCAUAGUCUGCAUGGGAAACUGCGAGGCUUGAGGAUGGGAGAGGUGAGUGGAAUUUCCGGUGUAGCGGUGAAAUGCGUAGAUAUCGGAAGGAACACCUGUGGCGAAAGCGGCUCACUGGACCAUUUCUGACGCUGAUGCACGAAAGCUAGGGGAGCAAACAGGAUUAGAUACCCGAGUAGUCCCUGUCUCUUAUAC
This 301-nucleotide ribosomal RNA is filed under the name uncultured bacterium. Its description in RNAcentral is "partial 16S ribosomal RNA". It matches the Rfam family "Bacterial small subunit ribosomal RNA", at positions 509 to 807 of the family's 1533-position model. The record is from RNAcentral.